Molecule: long non-coding RNA, 944 nt
Organism: Prinia subflava (tawny-flanked prinia)
Lineage: Eukaryota; Metazoa; Chordata; Aves; Passeriformes; Cisticolidae
Exons: 2
Source: RefSeq, a predicted model, not a curated record
UGGAGCUGAGCUUUAGCAAUUUGGGUUUGACCAGACUUAUCUCGCCUGGGGCGAGUUUGUCUCGCCAAGCUUCUGACCAAGCAUCCAGCCACAAAACCCAGCAGGGAAAGGACUAGGAAAAGGGCAGGAAGGGUAGAGACAUGCAGGUGACAAGCAAAGGAGGUGGCUGUAGCACUCCUGGAGCCCCACAAUGGGACAAAUCUGCAUGGAGAAGGUCUCUCACAGACCUUCCCAUCCCUGUGAGGCUGAUGCAAAGAGCCAGCACACCAGAUAUUCCCACGGUCGCUGUCCCCAUGUCCCAGCUCAGGCAGAAAAGCUGCUCCCAGUAGGCGCUUGAAUGGCUUUCCCCUCGCACACGGAAGCGCAGGGAGCACGGACGUCGUCUCUCAUUGUGAUGGGAAAGGUUAUCGGGUACGAAACAAAAGUGAAAUCAUCCGCUGGCAUUCCUGGGACCAAAAUAGCUGCCUGCUUCCAGCACUGACGUUAUCACAGAGGAAGGAAGGCUCCGGAUACAGGCUGUCCCGCUCCAGGGCUCACGUACCGACCCUGCAGUGAGCCAACACCAGGGCUGGCUGUGAGCAGAAGCAAAAUGAGGCAUUUUUGCCACGGCAGAUUAAAGACAGUGCAGGAGGUCCCAAAGUUGCCAUCACUGCCAAGCAGCCACAGAGCCUCACACAAGCAACACUCAUUGAUGGCCCAGCAAAGAAGCUCAUCUGCCUCACGUUAAUGUUCAGGGCUAGAGCCCUCCUGGGGACAGCACGGAGUGGGGAGAGCUGUGGCAGAUGGACACCCCUAACAGGGGACUCUGUGAGCUGCCAGCCCUGCUGCUGGCAGCCUGGGGCCUGUGGUGCCCUGCCUGAGGAACUGGGUCUGCACAAGGACAUGGUCAGCAAAGGCAAGGCUUGGCUACCAGUUCACUAAAAGCAUCUUUACUGUUCCACUUA